Molecule: ribosomal RNA, 512 nt
Filed under: uncultured Oscillospiraceae bacterium
Lineage: Bacteria; Bacillati; Bacillota; Clostridia; Eubacteriales; Oscillospiraceae
Description: bacterial SSU rRNA
Rfam family: Bacterial small subunit ribosomal RNA
Source: RNAcentral
CGGGACACUAUUACAGGUGGUGCAUGGUUGUCGUCAGCUCGUGUCGUGAGAUGUUGGGUUAAGUCCCGCAACGAGCGCAACCCUGUUGUUAGUUGAUAACAUUAAAGAUGAUCACUCUAACGAGACUGCCGGUGAUAAAUCGGAGGAAGGUGGGGACGACGUCAAAUCAUCAUGCCCCUUAUGUCUUGGGCUACACACGUACUACAAUGGCUAUUACAAUGAGAAGCAAAGCUGUAAAGUGGAGCAAAUCUAUAAAAAUAGUCUCAGUUCAGAUUGUGGGCUGCAACCCGCCCACAUGAAGUCGGAAUUGCUAGUAAUGGCAGGUCAGCAUACUGCCGUGAAUACGUUCCCGGGCCUUGUACACACCGCCCGUCACACCAUGAGAGUCUGCAACACCCGAAGUCGAUAGUCUAACCGCAAGGAGGACGUCGCCGAAGGUGGGGCCGAUGAUUGGGGUGAAGUCGUAACAAGGUAGCCGUAUCGGAAGGUGCGGCUGGAUCACCUCCUUUCUG